This is a non-coding RNA of Porphyromonadaceae bacterium, 402 nucleotides long. NCBI's taxonomy places the organism in Bacteria, Pseudomonadati, Bacteroidota, Bacteroidia, Bacteroidales, Porphyromonadaceae. The record is from Rfam.
GGGGCAGACCUGGAUUUGACAGCAUGAUGAAUAGGUAUGUAAGCAUGUCGGGCGUAGUGAAGCCGGCCCGUUAAUCCCGGACGCAAAAUUUUAAUUGGCGAAAAUAAUUACGCUCUUGCUGCCUAAUCGAAUCACAGUAGAUUCAGGCUUAAUCUCCGCUCAAGGAUAGUGGAGACAAGACAUCCCGCCGGAGGAUCCACCUUGUUCCAACCGGCAUCCGGGGUGCAGGCAAUACAGGGUUAGCCGGCGUCAUGCUUCGAGGCGCAGGUGAAAUUCAGAAGCUAAGGUACAGUUUGGGUGCUCUUUUCCGGGCUGUAUUCGAAAACCAAUAAAAAGCUAAGCAUGUAGAAAACAUAUUGAUUCCGUGUUUGGACCAGGGUUCGAUUCCCUGCUGCUCCACAA